UCGGAGUUCUGCCGUUAGCUGAAAAGCAUGCUACGUACAACUGUAUUACUUUGUAUAUUAUGACUGACAAUCUUUCGAAGACGAAGACGAACUUCUUUUGCAUAUGUAUGUACAUUGUAUAUCAGUGUAUAUACAACUGCGUUAGUUUAAAAAUUCAGAAGCUACAUUGCCUAGUUUGCCUGUCAAAGUAUCUGAAGCAGUUACAACGUAAACAACACCACAUCAUCAAAUUAACAACUUUCGACUGUAAAGUUUUACGUUGAUUUUAAAAUCUCGUCUUUGAAAAAAGUUUGUGUCGACCAGCUAAUUAAGUUGAAGACAGAAUGAUCCAUUAAACUCAAGAGUGACGGAAACUAAGUUAUAUCUAGUUUGUUUCUGAAUUCCUUCUUCGCCUUUCU
Molecule: long non-coding RNA, 398 nt
Filed under: Mytilus galloprovincialis (Mediterranean mussel)
Lineage: Eukaryota; Metazoa; Mollusca; Bivalvia; Mytilida; Mytilidae
Source: RNAcentral